UACGGAGGGUGCGAGCGUUGUCCGGAAUCACUGGGCGUAAAGGGCGCGUAGGCGGCGCGGGAAGUCAUCGGUGAAAGUUCAGGGCUCAACUCUGAAUCGGCCGGUGAUACUCUCGUGCUCGAGCACUGUAGAGGCAGGUGGAAUUCCGGGUGUAGCGGUGGAAUGCGCAGAUAUCAGGAGGAACACCGAUGGCGAAGGCAGAUCUCUGGGCCGUAACUGACGCUGAGGAGCGAAAGCAUGGGGAGCGAACAGG
RNAcentral lists this ribosomal RNA (253 nucleotides) under uncultured bacterium. Its description in RNAcentral is "partial 16S ribosomal RNA". It matches the Rfam family "Bacterial small subunit ribosomal RNA", at positions 524 to 776 of the family's 1533-position model. The record is from RNAcentral.